GAGUAAGAUCCCUCAGAGACGAUGAGGUUGAUAGGUUCGAGGUGGAAGCGUGGUGACACGUGGAGCUGACGAAUACUAAUCGAUCGAGGACUUAACUAAAUU
RNAcentral lists this ribosomal RNA (102 nucleotides) under Oceanobacillus halophilus. RNAcentral's name for it is "partial 23S ribosomal RNA". It matches the Rfam family "Bacterial large subunit ribosomal RNA", at positions 2826 to 2925 of the family's 2925-position model. Lineage: Bacteria; Bacillati; Bacillota; Bacilli; Caryophanales; Bacillaceae. The record is from RNAcentral.